CACUGACGUUCUGCCAAUCCGAGAAAGUCUCGUCAAGACGGACACAUUGCGAGCGCCCCCGAAGCGAAUGUCAUCGGUCACUUUUAGAAGAGCUGUAACCGUGCUGUGGCCCUUGCGAAAACCAGAUUGGAAGGAGCUAAGAAGAUUGUGGGAGAGGAGAAAAGACGACAGCUGACGGUGGACAAUGUGCUCAA
This is a long non-coding RNA of Bombyx mori (domestic silkworm), 194 nucleotides long. RefSeq lists it as uncharacterized. The transcript has 2 exons. The record is from RefSeq and is a predicted model, not a curated record. Lineage: Eukaryota; Metazoa; Arthropoda; Insecta; Lepidoptera; Bombycidae.